This 283-nucleotide long non-coding RNA is filed under the name Panax ginseng (ginseng). Its description in RNAcentral is "long non-coding RNA (PGIN_LNC018962)". The record is from RNAcentral. Lineage: Eukaryota; Viridiplantae; Streptophyta; Magnoliopsida; Apiales; Araliaceae.
AGCAUUUCAUAAUCAAUGCCGCUACAUCUGAAUACUUACCAUCUGGGCAUCAAAUUUAUGACAUAUUAAUCCCCUCCGGCCCGCCCCACCCCGCUCUCUGUUGCUGUUUCUCUCUAUAAUAUUCAAUGGAAGGUCUAUUUUACUAGAAAAAUAAUGGAAGACCCUGAAAUCUCCAUUAAACUAAACUAAUGUUUAUCGACUUGCUUGCAUUUAAGCUGUUUCGUUUUCUGGGUUUUUUCAUUAAGUUUCAGAUUCGGUCCACUGGGUAGAUAGAAUUCUUGAU